CCUACGGGUGGCAGUAGUGGGGAAUUUUGCACAAUGGGGGCAACCCUGAUGCAGCGACGCCGCGUGAGUGAUGACGUAUCUCGGUAUGUAAAGCUCUAUCAGCAGGAACGAGACAAGACGGUACCUGAAUAAGAAGCCCCGGCUAACUACGGGCCAGCAGCCGCGGUAAUACGUCGGGGGCAAGCGUGAUCCGGAAUCACUGGGUGUACAGGAAGCGUAGACGGCUGUGCAAGCCUGAAGUGAAAGGCGGGGGCCCAACCCCUGGACCGCGUUGGGGACUGCACGGCUGGAGUGCGUGAGGGGGAGGUGGAAUUCCGAGUGUAGCGGUGAAAUGCGUAGAUAUGAGGAAGAACACCGAUGGCGAAGGCGGCUUCCUGGGACGUAACUGACGCUGAGGCUCGAAAGCGUGGGGAGCAAACAGGAUUAGAUACCCUAGUAGUC
This 441-nucleotide ribosomal RNA is filed under the name uncultured bacterium. Its description in RNAcentral is "partial 16S ribosomal RNA". It matches the Rfam family "Bacterial small subunit ribosomal RNA", at positions 338 to 795 of the family's 1533-position model. The record is from RNAcentral.